GUCCGCUGCCACUCCGGUUGCCAGAUAAUGUAAUGAGCCACCACAGGCGGCGUCAUGCUGCGUUCAUACACACCUCGGAAAUGUUAAGUUUCCAAACUGAUGAGAUGUAAGGACAAUGGUGCGUUUAGGACUAGUCAAGACUGAAGCCAUCAAACAAGAUUUGCCUAUCUGAACGGAUAUGCGCAUUUCACAGACUACAUAAACAUCACAGUGGAUCUGCCCCACCACCAUCUCCUCAGGGCUUUCCUCACACCGCAGAAGACUGUAGGAUCAAUAGAGAUAAGGCUGCCAAACUUUCUGUAUGCAUCCAGCGUACCGACCACAACAGGUAUCUGCUGCCAGCUUCCUUACAAUGUCUGUCCGUUCCUGCGGUACACGGUGUCCUCAGGGUACGACUGCUCAGCCAGCUCGAGAAGUACACCAAGAAACACAAACACAUCAUGUGACAAAGCUCGACUAUCUGGGCCACUUCUAUUGACACUGUGCUGCUGUUGUGGGAAUUUCUGCGGCUCUCCUUUUGUUGUUGCAGACCUGCUCAGGCUGAAUUUAUAAUAAUCACCUCAGAAUGUCAGUUUACCACCCACAGAGACCUUGUAGAGGUUCAAACCAGGGAGAUAAUAGUGCAGGCCAUCUGUUGCUUCUGAAGGAGUGCUCAAAAGUUUUUCCUGAUUCCAAUUGCUCCGUGGGGUCUGCUACAUGCAACAAAGGAGGCAGGGGAGCAAGCACCUUCAGCAUGAACUCACAGAACAGGUGCAGAAACUGAUGUAGGAACAAAGGUUGCCACUCGGACAGUUCCAUACACCAAGUUAGUGCCAUGGCUUGUAUUUGCGCAGUAUUAACCCCAGAGGAUACAUAAAGGGACAAGAGUAGACAUAGUUUACUGCUCCACACAGACCUCAAGUUGCUUGUUAAAGGUAUUUCUGAAGGGUUCAAAUAAAAGCUUCUCCAGUGAGAAUGAAGCAAGCCGACUACUCGUCUUAUAUGACAUAAAGAAAGGAGUGUGGGAGGCUUAUUUCAGGUGCUUUGGGAAAAGAUAAGAUGAUUUAGCUUAGAUACAGGUGCCACAAAAUGGAUGUUACCAGCUCCUAUAGGUGCAGAUAUUCCAGUGGGACCAACCUGCUUUUUAGAUAAUCAAUUUUAAUAGUUUUACUGAUCUACUGCAUUUCCAGUUCUUAGUCCAGAUCCAAAAUCCUUCUAUUAUGAAGCAAGUUCACUUAAAAGAAUUGCAGAAAGUCAUUCAUUGCAAAUAUAAGUAGUUAAUUUUCAAUGCAUUAUGUAUUAUUUCAACAUUUGCAUCAGUAAAAGACAGAUUUAUCACUAUUUUGUAAACAUGGUAUAUAAUCAAUUAUAAGCCCUUAUGUGGUUAUAAUAUAAAAUCCAUUAGAAAUUCUUUUUUUUCUAGCAAAUGCAAAAAGUAUACAACAAAAUCCUAAAAUAUAACUAAGAGUGCACAUUUAGACUUCAAUGGAAUUAGUUAUACAGUUGUAGUAGAUUGAAAAAUCUGGCAUCCCCUAAAGGUUAUUUGCAAAACAUGCUCCACGCUGACUUUUUCUACCAUUGUAGUUACUAGCUACUAGCUAAUAAUUUAUCUGACAUACAGCUACUGGUAUUCAGUUUUUUCCUCCCUGUUAUUUUGCUGUAUUCACCAUGUCCAGAGGGCGUUACCAGAAUGAAAAGCCAGUUUGGCCUCCUAGUAUUUGCAGGCUUGUUCAUGUAGACAGUGGGUGUCUAACAGGAUUUCUGCAAUGAAUACAGACCCCAAAAUUACAAAAUUUCAAUCAUAUUUUUAUUGGAAAAUUAUUGAAAACAAUGUAAGAAUUAAAAACAUAGGCAUUGGAUAGAAUAUGGCUAGUACUCAAGCUGAAACUGUGUCCUUACAGAGUGCUUUAAAUACCAAGCGUAGAGAUACCUACAUAGGAUAGCUAAAAUAAUACAUAUCACACUUUUACUAAAUUGACUUUAUAAAAUGUCACUGUACAAUAAAGGUUCAACGAGUGGCAAAUCUAUACAAACAUACUGUGAAGAAACCAUUUAGUAGAACUAUCAAGACAAAUUAAAAUAUAACAAAAUAAAAUAAAUUCUUUUUUUCCCCCCGAUAUCUGAAGAUUAUUGAAAGCCUCCAGAAGUCUAAACAUGACUUGUAAAAAGUAAUACAUCAACAGGAAUUCAUAUAUUACGGAACCUCAAAAAAUAUAUCCGGUAAAUGUGAGUUUAUAAAGGGAGGCUACAACCCUCACAGCCACCAAAUGAUAGAAAUUCCAGAAGUAUUGAAAGUUUGCUGAACAGAGGCAUCUUCUGCACGUAGUGGAUUGUGCACAAUGACAAAACAAUGUACACUGCCAAUUUGUAGAAUGAAACAUUUCAAAUUAUUAUUCUGUGAAAAUAAAUUACAAGAAGUCUCUAUUUUUUUUU
Amphiprion ocellaris (clown anemonefish) is the source of this 2412-nucleotide long non-coding RNA. RefSeq lists it as uncharacterized. The transcript has 2 exons. The record is from RefSeq and is a predicted model, not a curated record. NCBI's taxonomy places the organism in Eukaryota, Metazoa, Chordata, Actinopteri, Pomacentridae.